Non-coding RNA from Ataeniobius toweri, 74 nucleotides. NCBI's taxonomy places the organism in Eukaryota, Metazoa, Chordata, Actinopteri, Cyprinodontiformes, Goodeidae. The record is from the annotation of a GenBank genome assembly.
ACAUUGGUGCAGCAGUUGGUAGCUCUGUUGCCCUUGGAGCAACAAAGUCCUGGGUUCGAAUCUCAGCCUGGGGU